This 291-nucleotide ribosomal RNA is filed under the name uncultured bacterium. Its description in RNAcentral is "partial 16S ribosomal RNA". It matches the Rfam family "Bacterial small subunit ribosomal RNA", at positions 333 to 621 of the family's 1533-position model. The record is from RNAcentral.
GACCUCCUACGGGGGGCAGCAGUGAGGAAUAUUGGUCAAUGGUCGGGAGACUGAACCAGCCACGCCGCGUGAGGGAUGAAGGUACAGAGUAUCGUAAACCUCUUUUGUCAGGGAACAAAGGCGGGGACGCGUCCCCGGAUGAGUGUACCUGAAGAAAAAGCAUCGGCUAACUCCGUGCCAGCAGCCGCGGUAAUACGGAGGAUGCGAGCGUUAUCCGGAUUUAUUGGGUUUAAAGGGUGCGCAGGCGGUCUGCUAAGUCAGCGGUCACAGCCCGGGGCUCAACCCCGGCCC